Lolium rigidum is the source of this 205-nucleotide long non-coding RNA. RefSeq lists it as uncharacterized. The record is from RefSeq and is a predicted model, not a curated record. The transcript has 3 exons. NCBI's taxonomy places the organism in Eukaryota, Viridiplantae, Streptophyta, Magnoliopsida, Poales, Poaceae.
GAGGUGACCUCGAAGCUUCCAUUCAGAAGAUCGUUGACAUCGUCACCCAAAGGUCAAUGAUGUGCCACUCCACCAGCCUCAGUGUACUCAUAGACUAGCACUGGUAUCAGACGGUGCCCCUCCCGCCAACCCCAGAUUAGCAUUGGCUACAAUCCAUCUAAGGAACCCAGCAGCAGACGGCACGCGGCAGCGUCGAUAAGCAAGG